RNAcentral lists this transfer RNA (90 nucleotides) under Eubacterium sp. Its description in RNAcentral is "tRNA-Ser". It matches the Rfam family "tRNA". From Rfam's summary of the family: Transfer RNA (tRNA) molecules are approximately 80 nucleotides in length. Their secondary structure includes four short double-helical elements and three loops (D, anti-codon, and T loops). Further hydrogen bonds mediate the characteristic L-shaped molecular structure. tRNAs have two regions of fundamental functional importance: the anti-codon, which is responsible for specific mRNA codon recognition, and the 3' end, to which the tRNAs corresponding amino acid is attached (by aminoacyl-tRNA synthetases). tRNAs cope with the degeneracy of the genetic code in two manners: having more than one tRNA (with a specific anti-codon) for a particular amino acid; and 'wobble' base-pairing, i.e. permitting non-standard base-pairing at the 3rd anti-codon position. The record is from RNAcentral. Lineage: Bacteria; Bacillati; Bacillota; Clostridia; Eubacteriales; Eubacteriaceae.
GGAGUGGUACCGAAGCGGUCAUAACGGCAUGGACUCGAAAUCCAUCGUGUGAGCAAUCACCCGUGGGUUCAAAUCCCACCCACUCCGCCA